GGCCCUGUGGUCAAGCGGUCAAGACGCUGCCCUCUCACGGCAGAAUCGGGGGUUCGAUUCCCCCCAGGGUCACCA
RNAcentral lists this transfer RNA (75 nucleotides) under Eubacteriales bacterium. Its description in RNAcentral is "tRNA-Glu". It matches the Rfam family "tRNA". From Rfam's summary of the family: Transfer RNA (tRNA) molecules are approximately 80 nucleotides in length. Lineage: Bacteria; Bacillati; Bacillota; Clostridia; Eubacteriales. The record is from RNAcentral.